This 917-nucleotide long non-coding RNA is filed under the name Capra hircus (goat). Its description in RNAcentral is "lncRNA (ENSCHIG00010011399.1)". The record is from RNAcentral. Lineage: Eukaryota; Metazoa; Chordata; Mammalia; Artiodactyla; Bovidae.
GUUUUUUUUUUUUUUUUAGGGAAGGCAGGAGAUGACAAAAGGAUUUUCGCUCCUAGAUGGCCGUGCGCUUCACAGACGCUCUAUCAACAUCUGAUGAAGCUCAUCGCUCCAAGUGAAUAAUCACUCACACCAGGCAUUCCCACUCCAGGCUGUACCAAGCAUGGCUUUGCUGUUGUUGUUGUUUUAAUGGCUGGACUCAAUAUCCUAGACCCUGUUUCACUUGAGUCUGAUACUGCUCAGAAGUUCCCUAACCACUAAGUAACAUUCCUGUUAUCAGUUCUAUCACUUUCUCCACCUACUGGGUGCCUGCUCUUGAAUGUGGGUUCAUGCACAAACCUGAGUGCGCGUGCACACACACACACACACACACACACAGACGAGACUGUUGAACUUUUCUUGCCGGGGAGGUCUACCAGGGCAUGAACCCAAAACAAAAUGGCAGCAUGAGGAGUCUCGAAGGCACUGUUUGCAACCUCCCACUCGAUGGAACGAGUCCCGUCACUGAGGACUCCCGGGAGCAAAUGAAUGAAAGACAUGAUGCCCUUUCCCCCUCCAAAGACACAGGACUCAGUGCCCAAAGCUGCUUCUCCCCUCUUCCCCCCUCAACCUUUCAUCCCUUCCAAGGUCCUUCACUCCCCUCUGAGGACACAGGGCCUCUUUGGACGGCAGCCUCCAGGACCUUGCAUGGGUGGCCAGACUCCUGUGGCUCAAAUUUCAUCCCCCACCCUUCCUGCAGAAGGGCUGGUGGCUCACAAGGGUGGGAAAGCGAACACGGGGGUGCUCUACAGCUGCUCCCAGCUGCUCUGAGACGCCCAUCACCCCCGAUACGAACCGAAAGUGCCUCUGCUCAGCCUGCCUCUCCCGGGGAUGAUAAACAAGGCUGUGAUCGGGAAGGGCCAGAGAGCUUCACAUUCUGA